Ataeniobius toweri is the source of this 78-nucleotide non-coding RNA. The record is from the annotation of a GenBank genome assembly. NCBI's taxonomy places the organism in Eukaryota, Metazoa, Chordata, Actinopteri, Cyprinodontiformes, Goodeidae.
GGCUGGAAGGUGGCGCAGUUGGUAGCACUGUUGCCUUGCAGAAAGUAGGUCCUGGGUUCAAUUCCCAGCCUGGUAUCU